Molecule: unclassified non-coding RNA, 289 nt
Filed under: Aliivibrio wodanis
Lineage: Bacteria; Pseudomonadati; Pseudomonadota; Gammaproteobacteria; Vibrionales; Vibrionaceae
Description: putative sRNA
Source: RNAcentral
AUCUCUUACAAAGUGAAUAGAAAGCUAUAAUUAGAAUAGUUGGGAGCUAGAAACAAAAAGGCAAGUUUAGUACCUGAAUAGUUUCUUUUUUCAUAUUGGUGUAGCACUUGUGCGAGUUCAAACUCCUCUCACCCAAUACACAAGUCACCUGACCCACAAAAAUGAUAAUGUAUUACAAAUCAAAUAACAAUGCUAAAUUUUAUUUUCAUGCCAUAGCGCACAUUUUAAGCCAAACAUUAAUUAAACAACACGAUACAAAAACAAAUAAAAAUACCAAAAACCAACAAGU